Molecule: ribosomal RNA, 351 nt
Filed under: uncultured bacterium
Lineage: Bacteria
Description: partial 16S ribosomal RNA
Rfam family: Bacterial small subunit ribosomal RNA
Source: RNAcentral
CCUACGGGUGGCAGCAGUAGGGAAUAUUGCUCAAUGGGGGAUACCCUGAAGCAGCAACGCCGCGUGGAGGAUGAAGGUUUUCUGAUUGUUAACUCCUUUUUUUAUAGAAGAUAAUGAUGGUAUCUAACGAAUAAGCACCGGCUAACUCCGUGCCAGCAGCCGCGGUAAUACGGAGGGUGCAAGCGUUACUCGGAAUCACUGGGCGUAAAGAGCGCGUAGGCGGGAUAGCAAGUCAGAUGUGAAAUCCUAAGGCUUAAACAUAGAACUGCAUUUGAAACUGUUAUUCUAGAGUAUGGGAGAGGUAGGUGGAAUGCGUGGUGGAGGGGUAAAAUGCGUAGAGAUCAAGAGGAA